AAAGGAAACAUUUUUCAAUUUACAAAACACAUGCAUAUUGUGCUUAGAGGUUUUACAUGAUAUUUUGACAAACCAAAAUGAACUUGCCCCUUUCCUGUUCACCACUUCAACUCAUGCUACUUUAUCACUAUUCCUCAAGUAAAAGCAUGAGUGAAAUGGGUCUGAUACUAAAUUGCAGGUCAGCAAGGUUCAGCUCUAGACCACCAGGAGAGAAAUUUCACAGUUGAAAAUCCUCUCUCAGGAAUGCCUUAGUUUUUUGUCCAGAGUUCAGAUACAGAAACUGUUCAUAUCUGUCCCUGUAGCUGCUCAAGUGUCAAGACAGUGCUUCCAAAAACAGAAUACUAACCAUACAGAAUUUUACAUGCACACAAACCAUCCUAGCUGCCAGUUUACUUCUAGAGUUCAGUGUGAUUUAUGGAGAAUGAAGUGUAAUAUCUUCCACAUGUCUAGCACCAAGUGAGCAGCCACAUUCUGCACCAGCAGAAGCUUCUAUAUGGUCUUCCAGGGUAGCUCCACAACACAUCAUACUAGUUUACUCUAGAUGUCAAGUAGGCUUGUAUCGCUCUGGCAAGAGGAAAGUCACAAUCAUCCUCUCCAGACACAGGUGGGAAGAUGUUUCCAGCUACUACUGUUAUCUUUAAAAUGUAAGGAAGGCUUUACGGAGGCAAAGAAACAGUAAUGUCCCAUUUUGAACAAAAAAGAUAGAUUGCCAUCAUUCAUAUGCUCAUGUCAGUGCAGUCUAAACCAUCUACUUCUUUUGACAGCCUUACAUUGGACAGAACGGUGUGAUGAACACCACCACUUUGCACACCCGACAUGAGUUCUCAGGGGAGCUAUACUUUUGCCCAACACUAUCCUCUAGGACUUUUCAAAAGGAAAGAAUUGAGUCACUGCAAUGCAGCUCCAUUCACCUCUACCGGAGUCUAUAACUUUUCAGUUAGGGAGAAGCAUUAACAAGAAAGAAGCUGAUGGGAAGCACAAGUUUAGCCCAUCCUGUCAUCCUUCCUGAGGUCUAAUAUCCCACUGACAGAGUAAGAACAACAGGAUCAGGCCCGUAAGGUUCUGCAUCCUCCCCCACCCCAGCCUGAAUGUCUGGGUUGCAUUUUAAUUGAAGGUACAAUUACUGAAAAACAUAUUGGUUAAGCUUUUAGCUCUUGAAGCUGAUUUGUUUAACGACCAAAUACUUAAAGAGUUCUGCCCCUGAAGACUAUAGGCAAUUCAGCUCUAAGCCAAGUACCUCACAGAAAAUAUCUUGAAACUGGGAAUGCCAAAGUCUGGUAAAAAUAAUUUAUGAGAAUGUGCUUUAACAAUAUAUCUGCAUUACUGAAGCCGUGUCUCAAUCUAUCAAAAAUAAAAACAAAUCUUAAAGCCUAGCCUGGGUGAAGGACAACAGAAAUAUAACAUUUUAAGUGAGCUAUUUUCAUUAGAGAAUUAUCUAAUACAGUAACAGGAAUACCAGAAUUUAUUCAUGGGGGAAUUCUGUGCAAGUCCUGCAGAUAUUCCCCCCUCACAAAAUAAUUGAUUCUGACAGGGAGGCAAAGAGAAGCCAUGAGAGGGGUCACACUGCAAUUACACCUUUCGUCCACCAGGGGCUGAUAUGGUGCCAGAAGAGAGGGCAGCCAGCUGCUGAGAGGGAGGAGGCAGAGGCUGCCUUCUUCAAAAUGCCAUGACUGCAAGACCAGGUUAGAAGGCACAAGGUAUGGGGGGACAAACAGAGUGGGGCACAUGGGGAUGCUGGGGACUCACAAACUGGGAUUCAGAAGGGCUAGUGAAGGUAUAGGAGUUAGUGGGGUAACAACAUUAACCCAAGGGCUGAAUGGGAGUGAGGGUACUGGGCCGAAUGGGGAUAUGCCUGGCUGAACGGGGAGUGAUCGUGCAAGGACAGAUGUGCCUGACUGAAAGAAAGAGAGUCAGUGUCUGCGUAAGGGAUGCUCCCCAACUCCCUAACAAUCCCUCCCACCCCCCCACAAAAAACCUGUUCCAUACUUUUCCCACUCACACCCAACAACCUUCCAGGUUCAAUCCCAGGGCUCCUUCCCAGCUAUUACUUCCCUCCUCCUCAGCUCCUCCGUUGCCACUGACUCCCGCAAGCUUUCACACUGCUUCUGAGUGUGGCAAAUAUGUUUUUGAAUUGUAGUUUAAAUGAAUUACUACUCAAAGUUCCAUAUUUAAUAUGCCUAGAAAGGAAUCUGUUUGUCAAAUAUUUCCUGAAUCUUUUUUUGUUGUCUGUUACAAACGUACUUGCUGACAAGUAUUGUGAAAUAAAUUACCAAAAUAAUUGAAACUGGUGUGAUUAUAUUGUGUUAUUUUGACAAAUAAAAUAUGCAGAAUU
Non-coding RNA from Chelonoidis abingdonii (Abingdon island giant tortoise), 2332 nucleotides. The record is from RefSeq and is a predicted model, not a curated record. Lineage: Eukaryota; Metazoa; Chordata; Testudines; Testudinidae.